AUUGAACGCUGGCGGCAGGCCUAACACAUGCAAGUCGAGCGGAUGAAGGGAGCUUGCUCCUGGAUUCAGCGGCGGACGGGUGAGUAAUGCCUAGGAAUCUGCCUGGUAGUGGGGGAUAACGUCCGGAAACGGGCGCUAAUACCGCAUACGUCCUGAGGGAGAAAGUGGGGGAUCUUCGGACCUCACGCUAUCAGAUGAGCCUAGGUCGGAUUAGCUAGUUGGUGGGGUAAAGGCCUACCAAGGCGACGACCCGUAACUGGUCUGAGAGGAUGAUCAGUCACACUGGAACUGAGACACGGUCCAGACUCCUAAGGGAGGCAGCAGUGGGGAAUAUUGGACAAUGGGCGAAAGCCUGAUCCAGCCAUGCCGCGUGUGUGAAGAAGGUCUUCGGAUUGUAAAGCACUUUAAGUUGGGAGGAAGGGCAGUAAGUUAAUACCUUGCUGUUUUGACGUUACCAACAGAAUAAGCACCGGCUAACUUCGUG
RNAcentral lists this ribosomal RNA (484 nucleotides) under uncultured bacterium. RNAcentral's name for it is "partial 16S ribosomal RNA". It matches the Rfam family "Bacterial small subunit ribosomal RNA", at positions 30 to 507 of the family's 1533-position model. The record is from RNAcentral.